RNAcentral lists this long non-coding RNA (1496 nucleotides) under Ananas comosus (pineapple). RNAcentral's name for it is "long non-coding RNA (ACOM_LNC024404)". The record is from RNAcentral. Lineage: Eukaryota; Viridiplantae; Streptophyta; Magnoliopsida; Poales; Bromeliaceae.
CAUAGGCACACACAGUCGGUCCCUGUACCGUAGUACUCCUGAACUGUCCAUAGAAAAAGUCUCUGGCUGUCCGCUUUCUAACAAACUUUUAAUUCCUUUUUAUUUCUACAAUAGAAAAUAAUUUAUGCUUAUCCAAAAAUCGAAGAAUAUCUACUGUGAAUCUAUAUUUUAAUUCAAAAUUUAUUUUAUUUUUCUUUAUCUUUAUCUAUAAUAUAUAUAUAUAUAUAUAGAGAGAGAGAGAGAGAGAGAGAGAAAGAGAGAUAGAGAGAGUCCGGCUGCUAUGCUAUCAAUAGCACCAAGCAAUUGGUACUAUCAAAUUUUCUGCCGUUAGAUUAACCCCUUUGAUCAUUUUUACUCAUUAGAUCAUAUUAUUCAACCAACCACCCACUCAACCCUAGGGAGCCCAUAUUAUCCUAACCGCACAUCUCUUAAUUCAAUGGCAAAAAACUUGGUAGCAUCAAUGACUUGGUGCUAUUAAUAGUAUAUUAGCCUAGUUAUAUAUAUAUAUAUAUAUAUAUAUAUAUAUUAUAUAUAUAUAUAUAUAUAUAGAGUUGAUCUAAGAUACUUUUACAAGUAUCAUUCCAUGUUGCUAUCCCUUUUUUUUAGCCAUUGGAUCUACUUUUUGAUUACAAAUAGCCCUUGGAUCAAACACUAUUCCACCUACCACCACCUACCACCACCUACUCCCAUCAUCUCAACCUCACAUCUCUCCAUCCAAGGGCUAAAAACACAUAAGUAUCACUUGGGUGAUACUUGUAAAAGUAUUCUAGCCCUACUCUAUAUAUAUAUAAAAGUUAAAGAUAUAAUAAAAAUAAUUUAACCCAGGUUGGCUGACACGAUAGGGAAUGGACAGAAAGUGUAUGAAAAGUAUAUGAGUUAUUAAUAAGUGCCCAUUCGCUAUGCUUCUAAAUAAUGCUUGUACUCGCUACCAACUUUUUAAUUUUUAGUAGGGGCUUUGUUUAGUUCGGAUAUAAGUAAGAAUUAUCUAUUUCAGAGAUAGAUAUAAGUUUAAGAUAAAUUAAUUUUGCGUAUGAAAAUUGAGUUGCUCUCGAAAAUAAAAAAAAAUAGCGUUUGUAUAGAGAAGAUAGAAUAACAAGAAUAAUGGGUAUAUAUAAAUAAAAAAUAAUAAUAUUGCCCCUAAUAUUAUAUUUAAAUUUAAAUUUUUAAAUUUUAUAUUUAAAUUUUUAAAUUUAAAUAUAUAACUUUUAAAUUUUCAAAUUUUAAAAAUUAAAUUUAAAUUUUUAAAUCUCAAAUUCAAAAAUGCAAAGUUCUAAAUUUUAAAUUUUAAAUUUUAAAUUUAAGAUUAAAUCUAAAUUUAAAAUUUUAAAAAAAUCAAAUUUUAAAUUUAAAAAAUUUAAAAUAUUAAUUUAAAAUUUAAAAUUUAGAAUUUAAAAUUAUAAAUUUUAAUUUUUGAAUUAUAAAUUAUAACUUUUUAAAAUUUAAAUUUAAAAAUUAAAUAGGGGUUUCUAGAGGUGGGGUUAACGAACCUCACCCUU